Molecule: transfer RNA, 61 nt
Filed under: Sacculina sp. 'Beibu Gulf'
Lineage: Eukaryota; Metazoa; Arthropoda; Thecostraca; Sacculinidae
Description: tRNA-Arg
Source: RNAcentral
UUAAGUAAAGUAUAAUUACAUUUAGUUUCGACCUAACAUUUAGCUUUAAGGCUUACUUACU